GAACAUGGAUGCCUCGCUUUUCAGAGACUCGCGUUCUUGGAACUUACACCCUCUUGGGUUUGCUAUUUUUACCCACCCUGAGCCUUCCGGUCUCCAUGGCGACGCCUCCAAACAGCAGAUUCCAGGCGGCAAUGACGUCAUCUCUCCCUUUCCUGCCGCCCAGGCCUUGGAGAGAUCCAAGGCCUGUGGGCCACGGCUGCGCCUCUCCUGACUCCAGCUUGCCCGUCUGUCCUUGGGGGCAGCGUCCUUCCUUCUCUCGGCCCCAGACGCAGCUGCAUCCUGGAGUCCUUCUGAGAAAUGUGGGACCUGCCCCAGCUCCACCCCAGGGGCAGCGAGGGAGGCGUUGGAUGGAGCCACCCCACGGCUCCUCUGUGAAGGUCUGCACGUCACUCAGAAAGUUGAAGCAAACCAAGCAGGGUUGGAGCCCACAGUUCACAGCCGGCUGCACAGGGGAUGCACCAAGCACAGUUUCCUAUGACAAGUGGAAACCUGUGCGCCACAGGUGAGCUGGGUCCUGGAAGGUGCAGGGACCAGGCAGCAUCUCAUCUCAGGACAUCAAGGGCUGUCCCCAGCCAGCAGAUUUCCCAUAAAAACGUGCUGAACUGGGGACAAAGCUGAUUCUACAGAGCCGAGAAGCCAGACCUUCCCUGGGGACUCCUGAGGGGGUCCCAGCCACCCUCUCCACCUGCAGAGGUUUCCUGGCCCACUUGGAGGACCUUGGGGGGUCCUCCAAGGGCCCCCUUCCAGCUCUUGGCCCAUGGGGGAGCCGCUUCCUCAGCUCUGGGUGUGGUGGACAGGAGACCGAGGGCUCCCCGCACCCAGCUGGGCUCAGGGUUUUCAAGCUGAACUUGGUGCCUGGCGGCUUGGAAAGCCGGGAGCCUGCUGCGUGUCUCCUGGGGCUGCUGUGAAAAAAUGACCACACACUGGGAGCCUAAAACGAGUGACAUGUAUAUUCUCACAGUUCAGGCAGCUGGUGUCCAAAAUCAGUGGUUGGGAGGGUGGAGCUCCCUCUGAAGGCUCUGGGUGGCUGCUGCCUGCCCCUUCCAGCCCCGGGCCCCCGGCAUUCCCUGGCGUGCAGCUGCUCCACCCCCAACCCCAAGCCUCCUUCCUGUGUCUCUCUGUCCAAAUUUUCCUUUCCUUUUUUUUUUUUUUUUUUUUUGAGAUAGAGUUUUGCUCUUGUCGCCCAGGCUGGAGUGCAACAGCACGAUCUCGGCCUAUCGCAACCUCUGCCUCCUGGGUUCAAGUGAUUCUUCUGCCUCAGCCUCCGAAGUAGCUGGGAUUACAGGCGCCCACCACCACACCCAGCUAAUUUUGUAUCUUUAGUAGAGAUGGGGUUUCACGAUGUCUUUCAGGCUGGUCUCAAACUCCUGACCUCACAUGAUCCACCUGCCUCGGCCUCCCAAAGCGCUGAGAUUACAGGCAUGAGCCACAGCACCUGGCCAAUUUUCCUUUUCUUUCUCUCUCUUUUUUUGAGACGGAGUCUUGCUCUGUUGCCCAGGCUGGAGUAAAAUGGCACAAUCUUGGCUCACUGCAACCUCUGCCUUCUGGGUUCAAGCGAUUCUCCUGCCUCAGCCUCCCGAGUAGCUGAGACUACAGGUGCCUGUCAUCACACCCAGCUAAUUUUUGUAUUUUUUAGUAGAGACGGGGUUUCACUAUGUUGGCCAGGCUGGUCUAGAACUCCUGACCUCAAGUGAUCUGCCCGCCUCGGCCUCCCAAAGUGCUGGGAUUGCAGGCGUGAGACACUGCGCCCGGACAAUUUUCCUUUUCUUACAAGAACACUGCUCACACUGCAUUCAGGGCCAACCCUAACCCAGUAUCGCCUCAUCCUGAUUUGAUUAUAUCGGCACAGACCUUGCUUCCGAGCGAGGCCACUUUCCAGGUACUGGUGGACAUGAGUCUUCGGAGACGCUGCUCAACCCACAGUGCUCCUCCAGCUUGGUUUCUGUGACUUGCCUUCCCCAGAGGAGGGGUGCCCUGAGAGGUCUCCACUCCCUGACCGGCUCCUUGGUGCCGCGCACUCUGAGAGGCUUCCCAGGGAACAGAGCACACAGGACCGCCCUCCUGGGUAGACCAAUCAGCAUCUGAGCUCACAAUUUCCCAGCAGGGCAGUGGGGUGGAGAGAGAAGCCUGGGCUGGGCUGGGCUGGGCUGGGCUGGGAAAGCUUCUCCAGGGAGGGGACGUCAGAGCAGGAUCUGGGGCUGAUAAAAGCCCGCCCCUGGGUGGGGGCUGAGUGGGGCAGGGGGCUGAGCCCGACACGUGGGGAUGGAGGACAGGCUGUGGGAGGGUGUGAACCGGAUACUUCUUGAAGGGGUGCUGGGGACUUUGAGAGAGGGCGGCUGGCCCCAUCUGGUCGGGGAUGCUGGCCCAGACACAGGCCAUGGCUGGGAUGGGGUUCAGAAACAGGACCGCUGUCUCUCCCGGGCCAGGGCCCUCCCCAGCUGCUCCUGGCUUUCCGGUUCUUGGGGUCAGGGGCAGGCCUGUGCCAUGACCCCGCCACUGAGGCUGUGAGGAGGCUGUCGGUGCCCAAGGGCACCAAGGCACACCCCUACUCUUGCACCCCAUGUGUGGGCCCGAGCACCUGCUCUGCUGCCCCAAAGAUCUGGCGAUGUUUCCCAGGCAACUGUCUCUCACAGCCUGUCUGCCUGGCACUCCCGUAUCCCAUAAAUGCCACCACAUCUGGCUAUGGGUGGGCGUGCCUGCCUGGCAUCCACGGGCCAGCAGGUGUGGUGGAGCACAGCCCAGUUCCUGGCUGCGUCAGAAGGCUGCCCGGGCCUUUUGGCUGUCCUUGCCAGCAGCAAAACUCCGUCACCACAGCAGCAGAUGGCUCCGAAGAAGUGGAGCGUUUUCAUCAGGUUCAACUUUGAAACCUCCACCACCACCAUCACCAGCACCGCUGUGUCGUGCUGAUAACUUGAGGACAGGCAGGACAAGGCCUUCUGGCGGCCGCCCCUGGUUUCUCCUGGGGGGUGAGGAGCGGGAGCGGCUCUGGGCCGAGCUACUGCGCACGGUGAGCCCGGAGCUGAUCCUGGAUCACGAGGUGCCUUCACUGCCCGCCUUCCCAGGACAGGAGCCCAGGUGCGGCCCGGAGCCCACUGAAGUCUUCACUGUCGGAACCAAGACCUUUUCCUGGACACCCUUUCCGCCGGACCUGUGGGGCCCGGGCCGUUCCUACCGGCUGCUUCACGGGGCAGGAGGGCACCUGGAAUCCCCCGCCAGGUCCCUGCCCCAGCGCCCGGCACCUGAUCCCUGCAGGGCCCCCAGGGUGGAGCAGCAGCCGUCUGUGGAGGGUGCCGCGGCCCUGCGCAGCUGCCCCAUGUGCCAGAAGGAGUUCGCCCCCAGGCUGACCCAGCUGGAUGUUGACAGCCACCUGGCCCAGUGCUUGGCCGAAAGCACAGAAGACGUGAUGUGGUGAGCGCCAUCCAAGAGCCCUGCGCAGAGUGCGGCGCCCGGACACGCUCUCCCCCGCCAGAAGCCCCGCCUCUCGGCUCCCCCGCAUGCGCAUUAAAGCAGGGCGGGCUCCUGUCUGUCUCUGUGUUGUGAUGAAA
This 3545-nucleotide small RNA is filed under the name Pan troglodytes (chimpanzee). RNAcentral's name for it is "processed transcript". Lineage: Eukaryota; Metazoa; Chordata; Mammalia; Primates; Hominidae. The record is from RNAcentral.